This 330-nucleotide unclassified non-coding RNA is filed under the name soil metagenome. RNAcentral describes it as "partial contains 5.8S ribosomal RNA, internal transcribed spacer 2, and large subunit ribosomal RNA". The stretch from base 1 to 120 matches the Rfam family "5.8S ribosomal RNA", at positions 35 to 154 of the family's 154-position model. The record is from RNAcentral.
GAUGAAGAACGUAGUGAAAUGCGAUAAGUAAUGUGAAUUGCAGAAUUCAGUGAAUCAUCGAAUCUUUGAACGCACAUUGCGCCCCCUGGUAUUCCGGGGGGCAUGCCUGUUCGAGCGUCAUUUCACCACUCAAGCCUCGCUUGGUAUUGGGCAACGCGGUCCGCCGCGUGCCUCAAAUCGACCGGCUGGGUCUUCUGUCCCCUAAGCGUUGUGGAAACUAUUCGCUAAAGGGUGUUCGGGAGGCUACGCCGUAAAACAACCCCAUUUCUAAGGUUGACCUCGGAUCAGGUAGGGAUACCCGCUGAACUUAAGCAUAUCAAAAGCGGAGGA